UUUUUUUUUUUUUUUUUUGUUAUUCAACUCUCAUUUCUAGAGAUGGUAUUGUAUCUUGGUUGUGCUAAGCCUCUCAACUUUUGCUGUCAAUGCAUUCGGUUGAUGUUAAGCUUAUCAAAUUUAUUCAGCUGAAAGCUGAUUUGAUAUCCAUAAUAUUAAUUUUUUAAUCCUGAUGCUUGACUUUCAACUAUCUGUGUAAAAAAAAAAAGAGUACAUGUUGUACUUUGCUUUAUUUGGAUUAGCGCUUGCCCUGAAGACGGCUCGUCAAACUUAAUCCAUGGUCCUGAAAUUUCAAUGGGCAUAACUUUUAUUUGUACUUCAUUUAUCACAUGACUAUAAAAUAAAUUAUAUUUUUCCAG
This 359-nucleotide unclassified non-coding RNA is filed under the name Hevea brasiliensis (rubber tree). Lineage: Eukaryota; Viridiplantae; Streptophyta; Magnoliopsida; Malpighiales; Euphorbiaceae. The record is from RNAcentral.